GCGCUCAAGCGGGCGGCCGACACCGCGCCGUCUGGCCAUAUGUAUAUAUAUAUAUUAUAUCUCUUUUUUUGUGUCAGAUGAGUAGGAGGGCGUGGCGGCCGUGUCGAAGCAUGCGUGCAGACGCUUGUGGAACGGCCGCUAGUGCAGAUCUUGGUGGUAGUAGCAAGUAUUCAAGCGAGAUCCUUGAAGGGCGAAGCGGGGAAGGGUUCCACACGAACAUUGAUUGGGCGUGGGUGAGUCGUUCCUAAGCCGAGUGGCAAUUGCUAAGUAUCGGCGAAAGGGAAGCGGGUUGAAAUUCCCGCACACGGAUGUGGACGCGGUGACGCUUUAAUGCGGCGAACACGCUGGCGACGGCGCUGGGCAGAGUUGUCUUUUCUGUUUGACCUUCUCAGCGCGCUGUGUGGAAUCCGCUUGUCGGGAGAAACACGCUCGCACGGGCAGAGCGCCGGGCCUUUUCCGGCGUCCAGCUCGCCGUCGACGGCCCUUGAAACUUUGCCUGCUGAUUUUCACCUCUAUCUUUUUUUCUUAAAAACGAUACAUGAAAUAAAUUCCACGCCGUGGCGUACCGAUCACCGCAUCAGGUCCCCAAGGUGAACAGCCUCUGCUCAGUAUGAAUAAUGCAGGUAAGGGAAGUCGGCAAAUUAGACCCGUAACUUUGGGAUAAGGGUUGGCUCUAGUGCUGCGUGGGACUGGUUGACCAGUGUCGAUCCCUCCAGGGAGACUGGCUGUGCGCGGGACCCGCAAGGGACUUGUUCACAGCUGUUUCCUAGUUGGCGACCGCUCAGGCCCACCCCCACAGCAUGCAGCAGACUAGAACUGCAACGGGCAANNNGAAUCCGACUG
RNAcentral lists this ribosomal RNA (843 nucleotides) under Contarinia peyssonneliaeformis. RNAcentral's name for it is "LSU rRNA". It matches the Rfam family "Eukaryotic large subunit ribosomal RNA", at positions 1325 to 2140 of the family's 3401-position model. The record is from RNAcentral. Lineage: Eukaryota; Rhodophyta; Florideophyceae; Gigartinales; Rhizophyllidaceae.